UUAUUCAAAGACAUGAUAUGCUAGUUCUUAAAUACCAAAAGUUACUGAGACCUUGCUUUUAAUGUUAGUAUUUCGCAGAAUAGGAAUAGACCAUUAUCCCCCCUUUAUACUCAAACGCUAAUUUUUUAUCCGAAAAUAGUAGUUUUCGGUUAUCCCCACCAACACCUCCAUUUUCUAUAUAAAACUAUCUAAAAUUGUUCUUAUUUCCAGAAACAACCCAAUUUUCAUCAAAAUACUAUUUUUUUUAUCCCCAUACUUGUACCUAUCCCUAUAAUAGCUAGUUCUUGCUUAUACCCGAACCAAACGGUACCUAAGAAACUAGCAAGUAAUGUGACCCAAUUGCUAGUAUCUAGCAAAAGUAAAUAUCUCUCUGUACGAAUGAACACUUAAAGAGGGUGUAAGCAAAUUUAAUUAGUAAAAUUGAUAACUUGGAAUUUUAAUAAACAAAAGCAUAAAAGGUAUGCAUCUCUCAAGAUGAUAAAUAAUUGCGUGUGAGAUAGCAAGUAAUCAAAUAUUAUAAGCAUAUAUUUGAGCCACUAAAACAAAUUUUCGCUACAACAAGGGUGCAUUUUCCCAG
This 577-nucleotide long non-coding RNA is filed under the name Ananas comosus (pineapple). Its description in RNAcentral is "long non-coding RNA (ACOM_LNC025228)". Lineage: Eukaryota; Viridiplantae; Streptophyta; Magnoliopsida; Poales; Bromeliaceae. The record is from RNAcentral.